Prunus avium (sweet cherry) is the source of this 380-nucleotide non-coding RNA. The record is from RefSeq and is a predicted model, not a curated record. Lineage: Eukaryota; Viridiplantae; Streptophyta; Magnoliopsida; Rosales; Rosaceae.
GGAAAUUCGUAGUCGAGCAACCGAUGUUCAUGAUAAGGAAACGGGAAUCAAGAUUACCAAGAAGGAUUGGGAAAAGUUGAAUGUACAAUUGCUUCAUACAACAAUUUUCCUACUGCUGCUGGAUUGGCUUCCUCAGCAGCUGGUUUUGCUUGUCUUGUUUUUGCCCUCGCAAAGUUAAUGAAUGCGAAUGAAGAUCACAGCCAGCUUUCUGCUAUUGCAAAAAAUCUGAGAUUUUAAUAAGCCAUCGCAAUCUAACUACGUUUUACAGAAUACUUAACACAAUAGUGAGUGCUGAUAUCGACCCUGAAGAACAUCUCCUUGACAGUAGCUUAAUUGAUUUUGAUAGAGCAAGCCUCCUUUAUGCCAUUGGGAAUAAUAAU